AUGGCCUACCAAGGCGACGACGGGUAGCCGACCUGAGAGGGUGACCGGCCACACUGGGACUGAGACACGGCCCAGACUCCUACGGGAGGCAGCAGUGGGGAAUAUUGCACAAUGGGCGAAAGCCUGAUGCAGCGACGCCGCGUGAGGGAUGACGGCCUUCGGGUUGUAAACCUCUUUCGACAGGGACGAAGCGCAAGUGACGGUACCUGUAGAAGAAGCACCGGCCAACUACGUGCCAGCAGCCGCGGUAAUACGUAGGGUGCGAGCGUUGUCCGGAAUUACUGGGCGUAAAGAGCUUGUAGGCGGUUCGUCGCGUCGAUUGUGAAAACUUGCAGCUCAACUGCAAGCUUGCAGUCGAUACGGGCGGACUAGAGUACUUCAGGGGAGACUGGAAUUCCUGGUGUAGCGGUGAAAUGCGCAGAUAUCAGGAGGAACACCGGUGGCGAAGGCGGGUCUCUGGGAAGUAACUGACGCUGAGAAGCGAAAGCGUGGGUAGCGAACAGGAUUAGAUACCCUGGUAGUCCACGCCGUAAACGGUGGGUACUAGGUGUGGGUUUCCUUCCACGGGAUCCGUGCCGUAGCU
RNAcentral lists this ribosomal RNA (583 nucleotides) under Nocardia nova. RNAcentral's name for it is "bacterial SSU rRNA". It matches the Rfam family "Bacterial small subunit ribosomal RNA", at positions 260 to 853 of the family's 1533-position model. The record is from RNAcentral. Lineage: Bacteria; Bacillati; Actinomycetota; Actinomycetes; Mycobacteriales; Nocardiaceae.